GGUGACUAUGGUUCCUUAGGUCGUAUUUGAUGGCCUAGAAAACUUUUAGGCGAUCGAGGGUCCGAGCCCACUCGGAAGGCAUGGGCUAAACCACACGAAAAUAUGGGAAUAUGGUGGUAUUCUUUUUUUUGGCCAAAAAUAUAAAACACGAGGAACGGUCAUGGCGGGGCAGUGACUAUGGUUCCUUAGGUCGUAUUUGAUGGCCCGGAAAAAAUUUUGUCGAUUCGGGUCGGGGGGGCCCCUGCCCACUGGGAAGGCGUGCGCUAUAACACGCGAAAAUAUGGAAAUCGGGCAGAAUUCAUAUUACUUGGUCGUAAAACGCAAAAUAAUGAGGAACGGUCAUGGCGAGGUGGUGACUAUGGUUCCUUAGGUCAUAUUUGAUGGCCCAAAAAAUUUUUAGCUUAUCCGGGUCCGGGGGGCCUUGCCCACUGGGUAGGCGUGGGCUAUAGCACACUAAAAUAUGAGAAUUAGGCAGAAUUCUAGUUUUUUGUCCGUAAAAUGCAAAACAACUAGGAACGAUCAUGGCGGGGCGGUAACUAUGGUUCCUUAGGUCGUAUUUGAUAGUCCGGAAAAUUUUUAGGCGAUCUGGCUCCGGGGGGCCUGACCCACUCGGAAGGCGUGGGCGAUAGCACACAAAAAUAUGGGAAUCGGGCGGAAUUCUAGUUUUUUGGCCAACAAAUGCAAAAAUGAGGAACGAUCAUGGCGAGGCGGU
RNAcentral lists this long non-coding RNA (712 nucleotides) under Nicotiana tabacum (common tobacco). Its description in RNAcentral is "long non-coding RNA (NTAB_LNC010940)". Lineage: Eukaryota; Viridiplantae; Streptophyta; Magnoliopsida; Solanales; Solanaceae. The record is from RNAcentral.